This 383-nucleotide RNase P RNA is filed under the name Klebsiella pneumoniae. Its description in RNAcentral is "RNase P RNA component class A". It matches the Rfam family "Bacterial RNase P class A". Rfam says of the family: Ribonuclease P (RNase P) is a ubiquitous endoribonuclease, found in archaea, bacteria and eukarya as well as chloroplasts and mitochondria. Lineage: Bacteria; Pseudomonadati; Pseudomonadota; Gammaproteobacteria; Enterobacterales; Enterobacteriaceae. The record is from RNAcentral.
GAAGCUGACCAGACAGUCGCCGCUUCGUCGUCGUCCUCCUUCGGGGGGAGACGGGCGGAGGGGAGGAAAGUCCGGGCUCCAUAGGGCAAGGUGCCAGGUAACGCCUGGGGGGUGUCACAGCCCACGACCAGUGCAACAGAGAGCAAACCGCCGAUGGCCCGCGCAAGCGGGAUCAGGUAAGGGUGAAAGGGUGCGGUAAGAGCGCACCGCGCGGCUGGUAACAGUCCGCGGCACGGUAAACUCCACCCGGAGCAAGGCCAAAUAGGGGUUCAUAAGGUACGGCCCGUACUGAACCCGGGUAGGCUGCUUGAGCUAGUGAGCGAUUGCUGGCCUAGAUGAAUGACUGUCCACGACAGAACCCGGCUUAUCGGUCAGUUUCACCU